UGGGGUGGCUCUGAUUCAUGGAAGGAUAAAAAAUGCGCUUAUAGCUAUAUUGUUGAUGGAGCACAGCAGAGAUUGGCUGGUUGGAAGGUGGACAAUCUUUCAUUGGCUGGUUGGAAGGUGGACAAGCUUUCAUUGGCUGGAAGAGUUGCUCUUUGUCAAUCGGUCAUUCAAGCCCUGCCUUUGUAUACAAUGCAAUCUGCAAAGUCUUCCAAAAUCUACUUGUGAGGAUGUUGAGAGGAUUUGUAAGCGUUUCAUUUGGGG
This 261-nucleotide long non-coding RNA is filed under the name Populus tremula. Its description in RNAcentral is "long non-coding RNA (PTRE_LNC000172)". The record is from RNAcentral. Lineage: Eukaryota; Viridiplantae; Streptophyta; Magnoliopsida; Malpighiales; Salicaceae.